RNAcentral lists this ribosomal RNA (245 nucleotides) under uncultured bacterium. RNAcentral's name for it is "partial 16S ribosomal RNA". It matches the Rfam family "Bacterial small subunit ribosomal RNA", at positions 524 to 768 of the family's 1533-position model. The record is from RNAcentral.
UACGUAGGAUCCAAGCGUUGUCCGGAUUUACUGGGUGUAAAGGGUGCGCAGGCGGGCUGGUAAGUCUGGGGUGAAAUCUCGCCGCUUAACGGCGAAACUGCCUUAGAUACUAUCAGUCUUGGAUAAGCGAGAGGUUCGUGGAAUUCCGAGUGUAGCAGUGAAAUGUGUAGAUAUUCGGAAGAACACCAGUGGCGAAGGCAGCGAACUGGCGCUUUAUCGACGCUCAGGCACGAAAGCAUGGGGAU